This 257-nucleotide ribosomal RNA is filed under the name Priestia flexa. RNAcentral's name for it is "Bacillus flexus partial 16S ribosomal RNA". It matches the Rfam family "Bacterial small subunit ribosomal RNA", at positions 446 to 694 of the family's 1533-position model. The record is from RNAcentral. Lineage: Bacteria; Bacillati; Bacillota; Bacilli; Caryophanales; Bacillaceae.
AGAACAAGUGCUAGUUGAAUAAGCUGGCACCUUGACGGUACCUAACCAGAAAGCCACGGCUAACUACGUGCCAGCAGCCGCGGUAAUACGUAGGUGGCAAGCGUUAUCCGGAAUUAUUGGGCGUAAAGCGCGCGCAGGUGGUUUCUUAAGUCUGAUGUGAAAGCCCACGGCUCAACCGUGGAGGGUCAUUGGAAACUGGGAGACUUGAGUGCAGAAGAGGAAAGUGGAAUUCCAUGUGUAGCGGUGAAAUGCGUAGA